AGAGAAUAGAUACCCGGGUAGUCCUGGCCGUAAACGAUGUCGACUAGAUCGUGGAACCUCUGACGGUGUCACGGUCGAAAGCAAAAAAAGUGCUAAGUCGACCGCCUGGGAAGUACGGUCGCAAGGCUAAAACUCAAAGGAAUUGACGGGGGCUCACACAAGCGGUGGAGCAUGUGGUUUAAUUCGAAGCAACGCGCAGAACCUUACCUGGGCUUGACUCGCUAGGAUUAUCUCGAUGAAAGUCGAGUAGGCCCCGCAAGGGGUACAACUAGUACAGGUGCUGCAUGGCUGUCGUCAGCUCGUGCUGUGAAGUGUUGCGUUAAGUCGCUUAACGAGCGAAACCUUUGCCCUUAGUUACCAGCGGGUUAUGCCGGGGACUCUAAGGGGACUGCCGGUGUCAAACCGGAGGAAGGUGGAGAUGACGUCAAGUCCUCAUGGCCUUUAUGCCCAGGGCCACACACGUGCUACAAUGCGGCGGAUAAAGCGAACCCAAAGCGCAAGCUGGAGGAAAUCGCACAAAUCGUCGCCCAGUUCAG
RNAcentral lists this ribosomal RNA (536 nucleotides) under uncultured bacterium. RNAcentral's name for it is "bacterial SSU rRNA". It matches the Rfam family "Bacterial small subunit ribosomal RNA", at positions 774 to 1296 of the family's 1533-position model. The record is from RNAcentral.